AUUGAACGCUGGCGGCAUGCUUUACACAUGCAAGUCGAACGGUAACAGGGUGCUUGCACCGCUGACGAGUGGCGAACGGGUGAGUAAUGCGUCGGAACGUGCCGAGUAGUGGGGGAUAACGCAGCGAAAGUUGUGCUAAUACCGCAUACGUACUGAGGUAGAAAGUGGGGGACCUUCGGGCCUCACGCUAUUCGAGCGGCCGGCGUCUGAUUAGCUAGUGGGUGAGGUAAAGGCUCACCUAGGCGACGAUCAGUAGCGGGUCUGAGAGGAUGGUCCGCCACACUGGGACUGAGACACGGCCCAGACUCCUACGGGAGGCAGCAGUGGGGAAUUUUGGACAAUGGGCGAAAGCCUGAUCCAGCCAUGCCGCGUGUCUGAAGAAGGCCUUCGGGUUGUAAAGGACUUUUGUCAGGGAGGAAAUCCCUAGUGCUAAUAACACUGGGGGAUGACAGUACCUGAAGAAUAAGCACCGGCUAACUACGUGCCAGCCGCCGCCGUAA
RNAcentral lists this ribosomal RNA (500 nucleotides) under uncultured bacterium. Its description in RNAcentral is "partial 16S ribosomal RNA". It matches the Rfam family "Bacterial small subunit ribosomal RNA", at positions 30 to 523 of the family's 1533-position model. The record is from RNAcentral.